GUGAUCCGCCCGCCUCGGCCUCCCAAAGUGCUGGGAUUACAAGCGUGAGCCACCGCGCCCGGCCCGAGAAGGAUUUAUUCUUGCACCCAGGGUGUGCGGAGGGGCCCAGGGGCAGCUGGACCUGUGUUGACGUCCGGAAGGGCCUGGAACCCGGGAAGCUCUGCCCGCGGAGGGUAUUUCUCUCCCUCUGAAGACCACCUCAAAGUUCAACCUUAUCACCUCCACGCAUGAGACCGCCGGGGGCUGAACUAAAAUCUCACCAUCCCAAUUCCAGUUUCUGGGAAUUGUCACCUCCAUUCGCUCUCAUUGAAAUCCAGCUUUUUUCACGAGGUGAAUAACAGGGCAGUUGACAGUUCCCAAGUUUUCUGUGUCCAAUCUUCAGCCCUGGAGGGACUCUUCUGCUCCAAGUCCAGCGAUCCCAGGAGGGGGCCCACUGGUCCAGUACGGCUCAGUACCCAGCCCUGGAUCCAUCAGCUGAGGCUGGAAGGAGUGGGUCAUGAAGAACUCAGCACGAACGCAGCUGGGUACGAAUUCCCAGAGGUGUCCUGUCCCUCCACGAGAAGGAUACUGAGGCUUAGUGAAGGCAAGACAUGCUCAUGCUCGCCAAGCUGGGGAGUGGUGGAGAGUGAAGUGUAAGACUUCUCGGUUCUACGGCCACUCCUUCCAUCCAUUGCUACAGGUCCAGGGGCCCAGGUAAUCUGAUUCCCUGUGCCCCACAGCCCACCCUGCCAGACCCCCUCCUGCCGCUGCUUCUCCUGGCUUCCCCUCUUUAGACAGAAGGCAGACCAGGAGAUAGAUCAGGCCUCAGGCCGCUGCUCAGCCCCACCCGUCCUAACCCCUGAGGGGAUGAGAGGGCAGCCUCCACAACGUGUCCCUAAAUGCCCCUGCCCCCCUGCCCCAGGUUCUCAGAGAAGAGGGAGAGCUGUGGGGGCUGAGGAGCAUCUCUGGGAGGGACGGUGGGGUUUCUCCCCGAAGAGCCCCUCAGAUGCAGGCACCCCUCACCCCGCGGUCACUGCUUCUCUACCAGCUCCUUUUCAGCUGCUGCUGCAGCCUCAGUUUCUCAGGGAGGGUCUCCACCAGCUUGGAGGUGGGUAGGGGGAAGCAGUGAGCACAUUCCAGGCUGAGCCCUCCCCGUGGGCAGCGAGGGCUUGGGAGGAGCUUGAGUGACAGAGUGUGGGGAAGGAAAGAUCAAGGCCAUCGUGGGCACCAUGCGGCAGGCACCAGGGAUCGGGCCUGGGGGAGCCUGUGGGAGCCAUGCAGGCCAGUCAGAACACAGUGCAGGGGGGUAGCUGCUGAGCACCUGGUCCUGGGCAGCCUCCAGGGCCCACUGCUGAGCUCUCAGCUCUGAAUCUCGAGCUUCCAGCACAUUGCAGACCUUCUCAAGCUCAGUCUGCAUCUCAGCCAGCUCUGAACCCACCUCCUGCAAAGAAGUCUGUGAUGGAGGAGGGUGGGGCUGGCGCGUGUCUUGAUCUGGAGCCUCCCCAAGAACUUCGCUCCCCCUUGGAUUCAGAGCUCCAGCCUCACAGGGGCCUUCCUAGGGACUGUUCUUUGCCCCAAAGAGCCCACCAUGGCGGCAUCAGGUGUAGUGCUGACGGAACAGCACCAGGGGAGGGGGCAAGAGGGCUCACCUUCCCCUCCAAGCUGUGCAGGUGACUGAAGUCCAGAACACUUGCCCUGAACCCCUGAUCCUUCACUUCCCUCUUUUACCCUGAGUUCCGCAGCGCUCCCCAUAUGGAUAGCACUGCCUAGCCCAGGAGCUCCUGAGGGCAGGCCUCACAUCACACUCCAUCUCCACAUCCUUCCCAGGGUCCCUGCACAGGGCUGGACCUGCAAAGCCUCGCUCCCCAACGCACUUGUUUCAUCACUUCAAUUGGUCCAGCUUGCAGAGGGGAGCGGAUCUCCUCCUGGGCCCUGGCCUGCCCUCCCUGGCU
Molecule: long non-coding RNA, 1931 nt
Organism: Nomascus leucogenys (northern white-cheeked gibbon)
Lineage: Eukaryota; Metazoa; Chordata; Mammalia; Primates; Hylobatidae
Exons: 3
Source: RefSeq, a predicted model, not a curated record